CAUUAAUAUCAUUACCGCGCGCUCCUUUGUAUAUUUCAACAUACCAGAUAUAUGGAAAAUGAUAUAGCUAUAGAGGUUGAAGAAAUGCUGAAGAAGGCACAACCUUUAUUUACAACCAAAAGCUGCUGCAUCUACAAGUUACCCCAUGAGAUUCGCCAAUCAAACAAAGAUGCAUAUACUCCAGUUCUUGUUUCUGUUAUGAGGGGACGACAGAGGAUGAUGUUAUCUUCUCAAAAUCGUGGAUGCAUAGUCGGGAAAACUCAGAUCCUUCAAGUUCAUACCUCGGCGUUGGAGAUAUUUACUCGGCGGCGACUUCUAGAAACCGAGGUCAAGUCCAGAUAACUGCACCAGAAC
Long non-coding RNA from Arachis duranensis, 354 nucleotides. RefSeq lists it as uncharacterized. The record is from RefSeq and is a predicted model, not a curated record. The transcript has 3 exons. NCBI's taxonomy places the organism in Eukaryota, Viridiplantae, Streptophyta, Magnoliopsida, Fabales, Fabaceae.